RNAcentral lists this ribosomal RNA (407 nucleotides) under uncultured prokaryote. Its description in RNAcentral is "bacterial SSU rRNA". It matches the Rfam family "Bacterial small subunit ribosomal RNA", at positions 355 to 776 of the family's 1533-position model. The record is from RNAcentral. RNAcentral also lists the same sequence under 1 other name.
UGGGGAAUAUUGGGCAAUGGGCGAAAGCCUGACCCAGCAACGCCGCGUGAGGGAAGAAGGUUUUCGGAUUGUAAACCUCUGUCCUUGGGGACGAAAAAAAUGACGGUACCCAAGGAGGAAGCCCCGGCUAACUACGUGCCAGCAGCCGCGGUAAUACGUAGGGGGCGAGCGUUGUCCGGAAUUAAUGGGCGUAAAGGGUGCGUAGGCGGUUGUCUAAGUCAGAUGUGAAAUCCCCGGGCUCAACUCGGGUGGUGCAUUUGAAACUGGGCAACUAGAGUGCAGGAGAGGGAAGCGGAAUUCCUAGUGUAGCGGUGAAAUGCGUAGAUAUUAGGAGGAACACCAGUGGCGAAGGCGGCUCUCUGGCCUGUUUCUGACGCUGAGGCGCGAAAGCGUGGGGAGCGAACGGG